Molecule: ribosomal RNA, 465 nt
Filed under: uncultured Klebsiella sp.
Lineage: Bacteria; Pseudomonadati; Pseudomonadota; Gammaproteobacteria; Enterobacterales; Enterobacteriaceae
Description: bacterial SSU rRNA
Rfam family: Bacterial small subunit ribosomal RNA
Source: RNAcentral
CCUACGGGUGGCUGCAGCGGGGAAUAUUGCACAAUGGGCGCAAGCCUGAUGCAGCCAUGCCGCGUGUGUGAAGAAGGCCUUCGGGUUGUAAAGCACUUUCAGCGGGGAGGAAGGCGGUGAGGUUAAUAACCUCAUCGAUUGACGUUACCCGCAGAAGAAGCACCGGCUAACUCCGUGCCAGCAGCCGCGGUAAUACGGAGGGUGCAAGCGUUAAUCGGAAUUACUGGGCGUAAAGCGCACGCAGGCGGUCUGUCAAGUCGGAUGUGAAAUCCCCGGGCUCAACCUGGGAACUGCAUUCGAAACUGGCAGGCUAGAGUCUUGUAGAGGGGGGUAGAAUUCCAGGGUGAGCGGGGAAAUGCGUAGAGAUCUGGAGGAAUACCGGUGGCGAAGGGGGCCCCCUGGACAAAGACUGACGCGCAGGUUCGAAAGCGUGGGGAGCAAACAGGAUUAGAGACCCGAGUAGUC